ACUCCUACGGGAGGCAGCAGUGGGAAUAUUGGACAAUGGGGGAACCCGUAGCAUCCAGCCAUGCCGCGUGUGUGAAGAAGGCCUUCGGGUUGUAAAGCACUUUCAGUGGGGAAGAAAGGCUUAAGGUGAAUACCCUUAAGAGUGACGUUACCCACAGAAGAAGCACUGGCUAACUCUGUGCCAGCAGCCGCGGUAAUACAGAGAGUGCAAGCGUUAAUCGGAAUUACUGGGCGUAAAGCGCGCGUAGGUGGAUAACUAAGUCGGAUGUGAAAGCCCUGGGCUUAACCUAGGAAUUGCACCCGAUACUGGUUAUCUAGAGUAUGGUAGAGGGAAGUGGAAUUUCCGGUGUAGCGGUGAAAUGCGUAGAUAUCGGAAAGAACACCAGUGGCGAAGGCGGCUUCCUGGACCAAUACUGACACUGAGGUGCGAAGCGUGGGGAGCAAACAGGAUUAGAUACCCUGGUAGGCUCUGCU
Molecule: ribosomal RNA, 473 nt
Filed under: uncultured bacterium
Lineage: Bacteria
Description: bacterial SSU rRNA
Rfam family: Bacterial small subunit ribosomal RNA
Source: RNAcentral